This 496-nucleotide ribosomal RNA is filed under the name uncultured bacterium. Its description in RNAcentral is "partial 16S ribosomal RNA". It matches the Rfam family "Bacterial small subunit ribosomal RNA", at positions 29 to 507 of the family's 1533-position model. The record is from RNAcentral.
ACGAACGCUGGCGGCGUGCCUAAUACAUGCAAGUUGAGCGCUGAAGGUUGGUACUUGUACCGACUGGAUGAGCAGCGAACGGGUGAGUAACGCGUGGGGAAUCUGCCUUUGAGCGGGGGACAACAUUUGGAAACGAAUGCUAAUACCGCAUAAAAACUUUAAACACAAGUUUUAAGUUUGAAAGAUGCAAUUGCAUCACUCAAAGAUGAUCCCGCGUUGUAUUAGCUAGUUGGUGAGGUAAAGGCUAACCAAGGCGAUGAUACAUAGCCGACCUGAGAGGGUGAUCGGCCACAUUGGGACUGAGACACGGCCCAAACUCCUACGGGAGGCAGCAGUAGGGAAUCUUCGGCAAUGGACGAAAGUCUGACCGAGCAACGCCGCGUGAGUGAAGAAGGUUUUCGGAUCGUAAAGCUCUGUUGGUAGAGAAGAACGUUGGUGAGAGUGGAAAGCUCAUCAAGUGACGGUAACUACCCAGAAAGGGACGGCUAACUACGUG